UAAGCAUAUCAAUAAGCGGAGGAAAAGAAACCAACAGGGAUUGCCUCAGUAACGGCGAGUGAAGCGGCAACAGCUCAAAUUUGAAAUCUGGCUCUUUCAGGGUCCGAGUUGUAAUUUGUAGAGGAUGUUUCGGGUGUGGCUCCGGUCUAAGUUCCUUGGAACAGGACGUCAUAGAGGGUGAGAAUCCCGUAUGUGACUGGUAGCCUAUGCUCAUGUGAAACUCCUUCGACGAGUCGAGUUGUUUGGGAAUGCAGCUCAAAAUGGGUGGUAAAUUUCAUCUAAAGCUAAAUAUUGGCCAGAGACCGAUAGCGCACAAGUAGAGUGAUCGAAAGAUGAAAAGCACUUUGGAAAGAGAGUUAAACAGUACGUGAAAUUGUUGAAAGGGAAGCGCUUGCAACCAGACUUGCAUGUAGCUGAUCAACCGGUGUUCUCACCGGUGCACUCAGUUGCGUUCAGGCCAGCAUCGGUUUCGACGGUUGGAUAAAGGCCUUGGGAAUGUAGCUUCUUUCGGGGAGUGUUAUAGCCCAGGGUGCAAUGCAGCCUGUCGGGACCGAGGACCGCGCUUCGGCUAGGAUGCUGGCGUAAUGGUUGUAAGCGACCCGUCUUGAAACACGGACCAAGGAGUCUAACAUCUAUGCGAGUGUUUGGGUGUCAAACCCAUACGCGUAAUGAAAGUGAACGGAGGUGAGAACCCUUAAGGGUGCAUCAUCGACCGAUCCUGAUGUCUUCGGAUGGAUUUGAGUAAGAGCAUAGCUGUUGGGACCCGAAAGAUGGUGAACUAUGCCUGAAUAGGGUGAAGCCAGAGGAAACUCUGGUGGAGGCUCGCAGCGGUUCUGACGUGCAAAUCGAUCGUCAAAUUUGGGUAUAGGGGCGAAAGACUAAUCGAACCAUCUAGUAGCUGGUUCCUGCCGAAGUUUCCCUCAGGAA
This 927-nucleotide ribosomal RNA is filed under the name Ceuthospora sp. CLX3539. Its description in RNAcentral is "eukaryotic LSU rRNA". It matches the Rfam family "Eukaryotic large subunit ribosomal RNA", at positions 35 to 979 of the family's 3401-position model. Lineage: Eukaryota; Fungi; Ascomycota; Leotiomycetes; Phacidiales; Phacidiaceae. The record is from RNAcentral.